RNAcentral lists this transfer RNA (76 nucleotides) under Candidatus Peribacteraceae bacterium. Its description in RNAcentral is "tRNA-Met". It matches the Rfam family "tRNA". Rfam says of the family: Transfer RNA (tRNA) molecules are approximately 80 nucleotides in length. Their secondary structure includes four short double-helical elements and three loops (D, anti-codon, and T loops). Further hydrogen bonds mediate the characteristic L-shaped molecular structure. tRNAs have two regions of fundamental functional importance: the anti-codon, which is responsible for specific mRNA codon recognition, and the 3' end, to which the tRNAs corresponding amino acid is attached (by aminoacyl-tRNA synthetases). tRNAs cope with the degeneracy of the genetic code in two manners: having more than one tRNA (with a specific anti-codon) for a particular amino acid; and 'wobble' base-pairing, i.e. permitting non-standard base-pairing at the 3rd anti-codon position. Lineage: Bacteria; Candidatus Peregrinibacteriota; Candidatus Peribacteria; Candidatus Peribacterales. The record is from RNAcentral.
AGCGGGGUGGAGCAGUUGGUAGCUCGUCAGCCUCAUAAGCUGAAGGUCGCUGGUUCAAAUCCGGCCCCCGCUACCA